UUACCCUUGCGCACUGAUGGUUCCCGGCAACGGGAUCAAAAGGGAACGCAGUGACGACGCCCCGCGUCGAGUCUGCGGCUGCCCCCGCAACUGUAAGCGGCGAGUUCGUGCCAUUGAGCGCCACUGGGAAACCGGGAAGGCCGGCAUCGGAACCGUGACCCGCAAGCCAGGAGACCUGCCAUCGACCGAGGUCCAUGC
This 198-nucleotide non-coding RNA is filed under the name Paraburkholderia tropica. The record is from RNAcentral. Lineage: Bacteria; Pseudomonadati; Pseudomonadota; Betaproteobacteria; Burkholderiales; Burkholderiaceae.